Molecule: long non-coding RNA, 1191 nt
Filed under: Solanum tuberosum (potato)
Lineage: Eukaryota; Viridiplantae; Streptophyta; Magnoliopsida; Solanales; Solanaceae
Description: long non-coding RNA (STUB_LNC003314)
Source: RNAcentral
UAACAGAGGCCAUUUUUUGUUCAAUUUCACAUAGUUUGGUAUUUUUGACUCUUUUCCGUAUAAAAAAAGGUUUUUUGAUUUAAUUUAACCUCCUUUUUUGGUUUUCAUUUUUUGCUUUAGAAUACCGACUAACUGAUUCCCCAUGAAAUGGUACUCUCUCUGUCCCUAAUUACUUGUCCACUUUUGAAUUGACACACAUAUUAAGAAAGCAAUGAUUGACAUAGUAAGUUUACUAUUUUACUAUUAAUUAUGAAGGAGAUGAAUUAAAAACUUAAGAUUUUCAAAAAGUUGUACCUUUUUCAAAAGAUAUAUUGAGCACCUUAUUUAACCUAAUAUUGAGCACCUUGUUGAUCAGACAAGUAGAAAUGAUACAAAGCAAGGGUCAUCAAAAGAAACAAUACAAAGCAAGAUUGAAUAAAUGAACCUUCAUCCAAGUACGAACAAGAUUGAAAGAAUCAAAUCACUUUAACGAAAGCAUUAUGGUUCAUCACAAUCCUAGCUAGAACGUUUAGUUACAAAUCAUAUCCAAGAACAACGCAAAACAUAUGUAGAUGAAAACUAUCCAUCAAAAUAUUCUUCGUAUCGAAGAAAAAGCCCAAGAGUUAUUCUCCAUAAAAAUGCUUAGAUCUUAAGAAUCAAAAGAUGACUAUUUAAGGCUUGCUGUUAGAGAGUUGAGGUCACAAUGGCCCUGAUAAAAAAGAAAAAAAAAGGAAACGAGAGCUGCAGUCACAAUUUCCAUCUCAGUUUGAAUGCUAGCUCGAAUCAAUUUCAGCACUUCAAUUUGGCAGUCCUCAGUCGGUAAUUAAGGUGCUGCAGUCGAUGCACUACUUGGAACUCUUGUCUGCGGUUGCAGGCUCAGUGGGACAUCCCUUUUUCUCACUCUGUUCUCAUUGUCUAAUGUUUCCUUUUUGCUUUCUCAUUACCACUUUUUAUCUAUCCUUCUUCCCAUGCAUAAAAAACACAACCAUGAGAUUCAUCCUCAAAUUGAUUAAAAAUCACUUAACAAUAAGCGCAAAAUUGUUCCUUGAUAGGGGAAUUGCCAGACAUUAUGCAAAAUAUCACAUUUAUCCGGUGGUUCAUGCAGUUCAACACUAUCUGUUUGUCAUUUUGACUAAUUUAUGAAGUACAUCAUGCAUGACUUAAUUUGUAUUUUUAAAAUAUAAAUCUACAUGCAUAUAAAAGAUAUCACCA